This 219-nucleotide ribosomal RNA is filed under the name Lacticaseibacillus paracasei. Lineage: Bacteria; Bacillati; Bacillota; Bacilli; Lactobacillales; Lactobacillaceae. The record is from RNAcentral.
AGGUUUCUGCGACUGCGAACACAUUUCGAUGACAAGUACGUUAAGUUCAAGGCAGCAAUUAAACAAUGAUAGCCAGUUUUGAGAGCGCAAAGUUCUCAUAAGUGUGGUGGCGAUAGCAAGAAGGAUACACCUGUUCCCAUGCCGAACACAGAAGUUAAGCUUCUUCACGCCGAGAGUAGUUGGUGGGAAACUGCCUGCGAGGGUAGGAAGCUGCCACGC